AAAAAAUUAGUUUAACAAAAACAUUAGUUUGUCAAACUAAAAAUAUUAAAAAUUUUAAUAUUUUUUA
RNAcentral lists this transfer RNA (67 nucleotides) under Mansonia uniformis. Its description in RNAcentral is "tRNA-Asp". Lineage: Eukaryota; Metazoa; Arthropoda; Insecta; Diptera; Culicidae. The record is from RNAcentral.